This 995-nucleotide ribosomal RNA is filed under the name uncultured bacterium. RNAcentral describes it as "bacterial SSU rRNA". It matches the Rfam family "Bacterial small subunit ribosomal RNA", at positions 355 to 1375 of the family's 1533-position model. The record is from RNAcentral.
UGGGGAAUAUUGCACAAUGGGGGAAACCCUGAUGCAGCGACGCCGCGUGAAGGAAGAAGUAUCUCGGUAUGUAAACUUCUAUCAGCAGGGAAGAUAGUGACGGUACCUGACUAAGAAGCCCCGGCUAACUACGUGCCAGCAGCCGCGGUAAUACGUAGGGGGCAAGCGUUGUCCGGAAUUACUGGGUGUAAAGGGAGCGCAGGCGGGAGAACAAGUUGGAAGUGAAAUCCAUGGGCUCAACCCAUGAACUGCUUUCAAAGCUGUUUUUCUUGAGUAGUGCAGAGGUAGGCGGAAUUCCCGGUGUAGCGGUGGAAUGCGUAGAUAUCGGGAGGAACACCAGUGGCGAAGGCGGCCUACUGGGCACCAACUGACGCUGAGGCUCGAAAGUGUGGGUAGCAAACAGGAUUAGAUACCCUGGUAGUCCACACCGUAAACGAUGAUUACUAGGUGUUGGAGGAUUGACCCCUUCAGUGCCGCAGUUAACACAAUAAGUAAUCCACCUGGGGAGUACGACCGCAAGGUUGAAACUCAAAGGAAUUGACGGGGGCCCGCACAAGCAGUGGAGUAUGUGGUUUAAUUCGACGCAACGCGAAGAACCUUACCAAGUCUUGACAUCCCUUGACGAACAUAGAAAUAUGUUUUCUCUUCGGAGCAAGGAGACAGGUGGUGCAUGGUUGUCGUCAGCUCGUGUCGUGAGAUGUUGGGUUAAGUCCCGCAACGAGCGCAACCCUUAUGGUCAGUUACUACGCAAGAGGACUCUGGCCAGACUGCCGUUGACAAAACGGAGGAAGGUGGGGAUGACGUCAAAUCAUCAUGCCCUUUAUGACUUGGGCUACACACGUACUACAAUGGCGUUAAACAAAGAGAAGCAAGACCGCGAGGUGGAGCAAAACUCAGAAACAACGUCCCAGUUCGGACUGCAGGCUGCAACUCGCCUGCACGAAGUCGGAAUUGCUAGUAAUCGUGGAUCAGCAUGCCACGGUGAAUACGUUCCC